CUUUAUGCCUUCCCUUACAAAGAGUAUGCUGGUGCAAAUAUAGGCUCAAAUCAUGGCUGGAGUGAUUCAGGUGAGUUUCUAUUUUGAGUCUGCAAUAAGAGGUAGUUUAAGCUUUAUAUUCUUCUGGAAUUAUGGUUUUCAGCUGAGUAAUAUUCUUAGAACUCUUUAUAAUAUGUAUGCUUGGUGUACUUGAGGGCAUCUGCCGACUUUUGCUGGUGGAUAGACAUGGUUCUGCUCCUUUAUGGCAAACAUGUUCUAUUGGAAACUGUAAUACAUGCUUAGCUUGGCCUAUCUGCAUGAGUGAAAUGAUGCAUGUCUAUUUGCUGACUUCUUGAGUUGUGUGUGGGUUUUAUUCCUGUUUGUUGUUUGCUUGGGGUUGGAUCCGAUGUUGACGGAUCAGAGAUCGAACGACGAUUCGCGGAAGCGGCGGGAUGGAGAUGAGCAUUGCGCCAAGGGAAGGAGGAGCUUCCACCAGCAGCAGCAAUGGCGGCAGCUGCAACAACAAUAACAACGUCUCGAAUGAACGAAGGAAUGAAGGUGAUAGUAAACGGAUGAAGGCAGUGGGUGAACUUAAAGUGGAAGGGGAAGGGAAUUCUAGCAAGGGGGCGGCCGCGGUGGAGAGACGCUCGAAGCUAGACGAACUGCCGAAGCAAGACUACAUCCAUGUUCGAGCAAGACGAGGUCAAGCUACCGAUAGUCAUAGUUUAGCAGAAAGAGCUAGGAGAGAAAAGAUUAGUGAGAGGAUGAAAAUUCUUCAGGAUUUGGUUCUUGGUUGUAAUAAGGUGAGUUGUCGACUUUGUUUGGACAUUUUUGUCGCCUCUUGAGGAGAAUAUAGUAAGUUAUUUUGUACGAGAGUUGUUAUUCAUAUAUACUGUAUAUGUACACAUUUCUGAGCUUUGAUGAGAUCAGUAACGGGCUUCGUCUCUGCUGGGAUAUAUGAUUGAACGUGACGGGGGUGAAUCCUUGACAUUAGCCACAUGAGAGUCUGCGUUAGGCCCGUAGAUGUUUUAUAUGUCGAACAACUAAGCCAUUAUUUUCUCUCAUAUGCAGCUUCAUGUUUGUUCACCUUCAUUUAACAUGUAAAAAGAUGAUAGGCUGCUCUCAUUUCUUUUCCAUUUCUAUCUAUAUACAUUUCUCUAUUUUGUCUCCUAUAUAUGGAAUGAUUACAAUUCAUAAAAUGUUUAUAGGUCCGAGCUGCUAUCAAGGUCAAGGCAUCAGUCAUCAUCUGUUUCACUUCUUCCAGGAAGAGCUGCUAGGUCUCUAUCAUCUUAUAGAUUUUUGUUUUAGCUAUAAGGUAGUUGGUAUUUUCAAUUUUGAAUCGGAAUAUGCAAUGAUGAUGUAUACUUGAUAUUUGGUUCAUUUGUAUAAUAAUGUAUGAAUUUUUUGGAUGAUAUAUAAUAUUGUUGUCGUUGAUUUUAUCA
Salvia miltiorrhiza (redroot sage) is the source of this 1421-nucleotide RNA transcript. It is a transcript of the gene named transcription factor BHLH089-like, with no coding region annotated. The transcript is spliced from 3 exons. NCBI's taxonomy places the organism in Eukaryota, Viridiplantae, Streptophyta, Magnoliopsida, Lamiales, Lamiaceae. The record is from RefSeq and is a predicted model, not a curated record.